CAGUCGCCGCGGUAACACGUAGGGACCAAGCGUUGUCCGGAAUCAUUGGGCGUAAAGCGCGCGUAGGUGGCCAUUUAAGUCCGCUGUGAAAGUCAAAGGCUCAACCUUUGAAAGCCGGUGGAUACUGGAUGGCUAGAGUACGGAAGAGGCGAGUGGAAUUCCUGGUGUAGCGGUGGAAUGCGCAGAUAUCAGGAGGAACACCAAUAGCGAAGGCAGCUCGCUGGGACGUUACUGACACUAAGGCGCGAAAGCGUGGGGAGCGAACAGGAUUAGAUACCCCUGUAGUCCCUGUCUCUUAUAC
RNAcentral lists this ribosomal RNA (301 nucleotides) under uncultured bacterium. Its description in RNAcentral is "partial 16S ribosomal RNA". It matches the Rfam family "Bacterial small subunit ribosomal RNA", at positions 509 to 807 of the family's 1533-position model. The record is from RNAcentral.